ACAGGUGUGUUUCAACAGCGCUGCUACAGCGCCGUCCUCGCCAAGUGGGAGACGUUCAGCCAGUGAGGAACGUGAGGAGUCCCACACACCUUACACUUGUGGCAGCAGACGGACUUCGCUGGUGGUGAGCGACAGCCUGGGCAGGUUCCGGGUGUGGUGAAGAAGACGCGACCAAACCUGGGCAUCGCCAUCGAGGGUGGAGCAGACACCAAGCAGAAGCUUCCUAGGGUCAUCAAUAUCGCAGCACACGGAGCGGCCUUCGAGGCUGGAGGACUUCGAGUUGGCCAGCUUAUCCUGGCUGUGGAUGGUCAAAAACUAGACGGCCAGAGCCAUGAGGAGGCGGCUAGGCUGAUCGCUGGGUGUUGGGUGAGCCGCUCCAGACCCGAGGUGGAGUUCAUGGUUGUGGAAAGGAAACCCACUGCCGCAGACGUCCGCCGCUCCUCAAUAUCCCUUCUCUCACAGAUGUGAGCACCUGGGUGAGGGGGGUCCUAAAGGGGGACCCUCAGGUGAGCUAGACUUGGAACCCUGGUGUGUUCACAAAGCUGACAGACGUCCUGAAAAAUGUGAUCACCUGGGAGAGCUCCAACAGGUGUGUAGGUGGUAAGCUCCGACAAAUGUGGUGAAAGACACAAACACUAGCGCAAGCUUCGGCAGGUGUGUUUGAAGAUGUUAACCGGUAGGCAGGUUGACAGGAAUUUGGGAUCACCUAGGCGAACUGUGUCGCCAAUCUCCUACAGGUGGGUGGGGCUGAGUUUCUACAGGUGUGGUGCAAAAUGUAAACACCUGUGCGAGCUCCAGUUAGUGUGCUGAAAGAGGUAAACAUCUGGACGAGCUCCGACAAGUUGGAUGGAAGAUGUGAUCACCUAGCGACCCCUAUCAGAUGUGUUGGCGAACUUCGCCAGGUGUGUGGACGAGUUUCUACAGGUGUGGUGAAAAUGUAAGCACCUGGGUAAACUCCAACAAGUGUGUGGACUAGCUCCCAUGGGUGUCGCAGGAGUCCGUUGUAUUUCUUGCGGCAGAUGCGGCGCCGUUGGGACAAUGUGGAUUAUCUUGACCCAGGCUUCAGGAGCUAUGGUUUAAGUGGUAAUCAGUAAACAUUGUUAAAACACUCAUAAUGAUUAAUGCAUAUUUUAUAGAAAAAAAAUUUGAAAUUUGCGCGUAAGGUGAAAGCUGCAAAAGUUAAAACUCGAAAAUCCAAAUAAAACAUUUUAAACUGCAGAAAAGACAGUAAGAAAAAAUUUUCAGUGUAGCAUAUACUCUUAUAAACAUCACAGUGUUUUAAUGUAAUUAUAUGAAUUCCUCUAUGGAAAGGCAUUAUAGGAAAAUAAAUAAAAAACAUGCCGAGAGCAAUUAAUAUAAAUAAAUAAUCGGCUAUGACUCGCAAUCUACAAAAUAUAUCGCAACUAAAUGUUUUCUUGUGGAUAAUUACUAAUAGGAAAACAAGCAAUAGCACUGAAAUUAAAUUACUGGAAAAUUUCACAAGAUGGGAGACACAGGACUAUACACACCAAGAGUCACACAUCUACUGAACAAUUAAUUUCUUAUAUUAGGGAUCGAAGUAUCCCAGACCGAUUGUGAAGAGGUUACAAGCAGCCUGUCCGAAGCGUAGUCAAAAGGCUCUAAACCCAAGUAACCAACCAUCCAACCAGAUGGGAAACCUGGUCACUGUAUAACGGACCUCAACACACUUGUUUUCCAUCACACGAAGAUGUGUAAUGAUCGUCGGGUAUGAGGGAAGCAUCGUCGGGUGUGAGUGAAGCAUCGUCGGGUGUGAGUGAAGCAUCGUCGGGAGUGAGUGAAGCAUCGUCGGGUGUGAGGGGAGCAUCCAGUGGUUGGUACGGUCGGAACUCCCACUGCGAAUGCUUAUUAUUUACAUUUGGUUUUGGAAAUACGAGACACAAAAGAUACACAAAGUAACACGCUGUUAUUGAAAUAUGCAAAGUGCAGCAGUUGUUGGUCCUAGAGCAAAUCUUGUUGAACUAAUUUUAUAAUAGGGGAAGUGGGGGGGGGGGGUAGAUUUUCUAUCGUUGAAAUAUCUUUUAAAUAUCAUUACAAUGUAUCAUAUAGAAUCACAGUUAUUUUUCGCAUCUGGCCUUUUUCAGGGUCUAAAUGCACGCUUAUAUGGCAAGCGUGCAUGGCAAACGAAAAGUAUUAAAGUUUUCUCGGUCUACACUGUUGCUGUCGCCUUCAUGGUCUUGUGGUUAAAGCACUGGCCUGCUAGGUACUGAAUUGCUUUACCAUUGUUCGGAUACAACCCUUUCUCCGAGAUAUUUGAAGUCGAUUUUCGUGAGUCGGUAUGGUCGAUGUGAUUAUCCUACAUUUCAGAAGCAAAUUUUAGGGAGUAACCGUUAGCAUUUUUUCAGUUUUUAUUGCUUACAAUAUACCUGCCCGGUAAAGGGUUUUAAUAUAUAAUUUUUUGAAAGGAUUUUUUUUAAUGUGACGAACACGACUUGCCUUAAAUAUGCAAAAUAAAUUCUCUGUCGCAUGUUAUUACUAAACGUACACUUAUUUGUAGUAAUGCAUAAGAAAAAUUAAAUAUUUUUCAUAUAUACUCUGAUAUACAAAAUACCACCAUCAGGAUGCUACAGUGUGGUGAUCAUUUGCUCUUUUAAAUUAAGCGGGAAACUUCCCAGUACAUUUUACAAUAUAUUAAUUUCUUUGCGGGGUGGUCUGGUAAGCCAAUGAAAGGCAUCUGUUAAGUGACCUAUACAGGUAAUCAUACAAGUAAAACCCGCGUUUGGAAGAAAUUUCCCCAUUUCACCUGAUGGACUAGAGUUCCAACUGACGUCGGUCACAUAACCUGAAGCUCCAGUGAGCGGCUCAUCCUGUGACAAAGACCCAAUUCAGAACAUAUUAUUCCAUUUCUCAUGACAAACUAAAUACCUUUAAACUUUAUCUCGUAUGGAACGUGUUUCUAAAAGGACUCUGCUGCUCUAUAUAAGUAAUUUUAAGAACGUCUCUGUUCGUAAUCAGGUAACAUACAUAUCGUGGCUCAGUGUUAGAAUUUGUCACCAUCUAUAACAUUCUUCAAAGAGACUGGUUCAUACCCUUAUCUAAGGGUGAAAAUAAAAGUCAUAAGACAGUAACUUUAUUACUAACAAAAUUAAAACAACUAUUUCAUGUGCUUAUUAUUUUAGGCAACACUUCCGAAAACGUAUAAAUAUAUGGUCGAAACACAGCAAUAGUUUUUUGUUUUUAAUAAUUGUGAUAUCAGCCCUGUGUCACUGCUGUCUUUAACUCGUCGUUGUGUUUACAUUUAUGGCUCCAUAUGUGGACUAUGGGAUUAUCCUCUUCGAUGGCGAAUUUCAUCUCUUAAUCUGCUGAGGCAGAGCCAAUAACCUCGUAUCUUCACGUUUCAUCACAGGAAGAAGACAACUUCCCUGACACUACCACCAAUUUCUUCAUCUAUAUUUCUUACUGGCACACACCAUGAUGAUCUACAUUCAGUGAAGUUAAUGUUAAAGUAACAUUAUCUACAGACGCAUGCGAUCCAUCGUGCAUGUUAAUGGACAUAACGAAUACUGAGUUAUGUGACUAACCACUCGCUAGUCAACACGUAACUGUCCAGUUUGUGGCUACCCUCUCACCAGACAACACAGUAAGUGGCCAACUUGUGCCCGACCUCUUACCGGUUGACUCAGCAAGUGUCCAGCUUGUAAAUACCUUCUUACCAUUUGACAGAGGAAGUUGCCAGGAUGUGGCCAGUGUUAUAACAGACUCAUAAUUCCCUUAGACCAAAUAAAAUAUCUUGAGUGACACUCGGAUAAUUCAAUAAAUAUUUCUUUUCUUUUAUUGGACAUCGCUGGUACUUUAUAUAAAUUUAUAACAUUAGAACAUCAACGCGAUAAUGCACAUUAAGUCAUUGCGUUGACAUGUCCUAACACGAUACAAUCAUGGACCUGGAAAGCCAUGACUUUAAACACAAGAGACGUGAGACUAAAGUUCUAUCACCGUGGAGUCAACAGAAUAAAUUCUCUUUAAUGUACAUACAAAGGACCAAAGUCUUAUCACCUUACAUACAUGGGACUGAAGUCCUAUCACCGUUUAUACAUGAGGCUGAAGUCUUAUAACCGUACAUACAUGGGGCUGAAAUCCAUUCACAAAACAGAUAAGGGACUGCAUUCUCAUCACCGUACAGACAAGGGAGUGAAUGAAGUCUUACCAUCGUACAGACAUAGAGCUAAAGUCUCAUGUCUGUGCAGACAUAAGGCUAAAUUCUCACCACCGUAUAAAUAUAGGACUUAAGUCUUAUUACCGUACAGAUAUGGAAAAUAACUGUUAAGAAAACCACGAAUCACUUCAAGGUGCUGAACAUUUUGAUGUAACAUUUUUAACGAUGUGUAGUGUGUGAAGAUGAUGUGUAACCUCCUCUGUAUAAGGCGUACUGGGGACCGACCCUAGGAGGGUCUUGUAUUGCAAGUCCUCAGCUAUACCGACUCAACCGCAGUGUGUUCCAACGAACUCUUGUGUGGGUAGCCAUAACUGUAGCUUAACUAACUUUUAUAUAGAAAUCUAAUGUUGCAUCCUGGAUGCAACAUCAGAUCAAUAUUUGAUCACUUCUGACCAUGAAAUGAGACCUCACUCUCAGACACUAACCAAUUGUUAAUUUCAAUAUUGAAAUUCUCAUUUCAUGGUAAAUUUGUUCAACUCGAACAUUUUUGAUCAAUAAAUGGCAACAUUCUGAACAAAAAUUGCAUAAAAAUAAUAGUCACAGACGAAGCGACGAAGACAAAACUUGAAUAAGAGGUAAACUAUGCAUGAAAAACUAUAACAAAUAGCGAUUCCUGAAAAUUUAAGUUUUCCUGACAGAUUCAGUCGAGGGCCAGCGGAGUGUCUGAUUAAUCAUAUGGCCAGAUUGAUGAAGUUGUGAGUAGCAAUGAGUAAAGAACGUUUAACAGUUGCUGAAGUCAUAACUCGCAAGGCUUGGUAAGAGACUAUUUUAAGGCAUAACAGUGUUAAGAGUCGAUCUCCAGUCCUGAGAGUUCCUAAACCCCACAGUAUCUGGAGUCAUUCCAUCCACCACGUUAAAAUGAAUCUGAUUUUCAUUGAUGCUAACUAGAUUUCAUCACUUUAUACGGAGGUUUUGAGGAUAGACUGACCCAUACUAACUGCUCUCGAAUGUUAGGGAAAACUCAAGUAAGACGUGAAGAGAAGGUCGUGAAAAUCAAUUCAGAGCGCAAACGGAACCUUAGUAAGCUUCACUGAUUCUGAUUUUCUUUUACCUUUCAGAUAAUAAACUGAUUAGAAUCUGGCCCAGGGGAUUAUAAAGUCCCAAAUUCGAAUCUACCAGAAGUCAUGUCUAAACAAAAAAUAUUAAUUACAAAAUUGCUUGCGUUAGAUGAGGUGGCAGAUUCAUACCCGACAGGCCUUAUUUUUCACGUUGUUACUAAAUUUUGAUAAAAGAAUCACACUUUUCUUAGGGUGUUCCACGGUGUUUCUGGAGAUCUGGAGAGAGUUCCGGGGGUCAACGCCCCCGCGGCCCGGUCUGUGACCAGGCCUCCUUAGGUCAGUGUCCCAGGAUGCGACCCACACCAGUCGACUAACACCCAGGUACCCAUUUUACUGAUGGGGAACAUAGACAACAGGUGGAAAGAAACACGUCCAAUGUUUCUACUCUGGCUGGGAAUCGAACCCAGGCCCUCACCGUGUGAAGCGAGAGCGUUAACCACCAGGCCACCAGAGCCAAAAUUUAUAAUUUCUUCUUAGGUAUAUAGCAAAAACAGGCUACUCAUUCUGGCUGUGACUCUUGUUAGUUACCAAGGAUGUAGCAUCAUUAUUGAGUACCGAAGAUUAUUUAUCGUAGUCAGUCAUUUAAUAAUCUGAAAUGUUAAGGGAAAGUAUGUAUGUGUUGUGGUAUAACUAAAUAAGAUUGUGCUUUCAC
Cherax quadricarinatus is the source of this 5881-nucleotide non-coding RNA. NCBI's taxonomy places the organism in Eukaryota, Metazoa, Arthropoda, Malacostraca, Decapoda, Parastacidae. The record is from RefSeq and is a predicted model, not a curated record.